Anopheles gambiae (African malaria mosquito) is the source of this 1389-nucleotide long non-coding RNA. RefSeq lists it as uncharacterized. The transcript is spliced from 2 exons. Lineage: Eukaryota; Metazoa; Arthropoda; Insecta; Diptera; Culicidae. The record is from RefSeq and is a predicted model, not a curated record.
CCAACUGCGCCAUUGUCGUGAUCUGGCCAAGCCACCAUCCUUUAAAGCAACCUUUCGGAUUCAAGAAAUUAAGGAACACACGGUGUCAUGUUCUUCUGUUGAUUAAUCUAACACGACUGACGUUUAUUCGCAUUUCCUGUCAUCUCGAAUGAUCUUUCACGCUCGUCCUAUCUCUCUCUCUAUCUAUCACUUUCUUGUCUAUCCUAAUCCCUACACCAACUAUUCCUUCUGGCCCUGCUUUCCUGCACCAUUUUUGCUGCAACCUCUACCCCAACUGCUACAAUGGAAGCUAUUGCUAUUGCCGCUGCGAUUAAAAAAAUGUUUCUUAUUUUUACAGGAGCGUUUAUGUAUAUUUAAAUAUUUAAUAUUACAGCUCUUUCGAGUUAGAGGACCAAUAAUGGAAGAAAACUGCUGCAGGCACUUGAGCCAUCAAAAUAACAACGGGGUCAUGGGGAUGGUGAAAGAUAAAUAAUAGAGUCGAGAUUAAUCGUUUUUUUAUCAUUGAUUUUCUUCCAGAACGUUGAGAAAAGCCUUCGGCUAAUUGCCGAGGUGGAGAGACGGCCUGCUUUAUGGCAAAAGCGGUCGGAUUUCUACAAGAACGGUAUUCGGCGAAGGGAUGCGUGGACCGAGAUUGGUGGACUCUUGGACCUCACCGUCGAAGAGGCGAGCUACCAGUGGAGGAAGCUGCUGACCAGCUACCGGACUUACAAGUCCAAGCUGCUUAAAAGUCAGCAAAGUGGAGCAGAUACUAAUCAAAUUUAAAAUAAUAUGAAAGUGUUCAAUGACAUAAUUUUAUCAUUCGUAGCGGCUGAGGACAUUUUCCAGCCAAGAUGGUUCGCCUUCGACUCGAUGAGGUUCCUCGAUGAUACCCUGAAGGACGGCACGCAUCUCGAUACGUUCGAUGACGACCUAGAACAACACACCUCCACCCAAGCCCACCUAAUCUCUUCUUGUUCCUAUUCCUCAAUUCCGCCGCAACCAACAAUCCCAGCACCAACAACUCCAGCACCAACUCCAGCACCAACCACAGCAACAACCCCAGCACAAACCCUAGCACCGACCCCAGCACCAAUCCGGGCACAAACAACUCCAGCACCAACCCCAGCACAAACCCCAGCACCGACCCCAGCACCAAUCCGGGCACAAACAACUCCAGCACCAACCCCAGCACAAACCCCAGCACCGACCCCAGCACCUACCCCAGCACCAAGCCCAGCACCAACCUCAGCGAUGGAAAAUUAUUUCUCCAUGUUUGGCCAGUGGGUAGGGGCAUGGUUAAACCAUUUACCACGCGAGCAACAGAACGAUGCCACAAAUCGUUUGCGGCAGACGAUGCAGGAGUGGGAUCUCCAAUAUAAUAAAAAAAUAAUAAAAAUAUUUACAAAACCA